UCUCAAACAAACAAACAAACAAAAUCCAUACACACACAGAAAAACUUCUGGCACCGUUGCCUAUCAGCUUUUUCUCAAACUGUGUCCUCUUCCUAGAAUGGACUUCUCCUAUCUUCCCACCUAAGUAAGUCCUACCUUUGCGUCAAGGCACAGCUAUAGCCAUUGUCAUGGUGGGGUCCCAGAGCAGGGACUCUGGCGUCUCCUCUUGAGCUUGAAAAUCUACUCUGCCGCUUAAUAGCUGUGGAAAAUUUGGGCAACUCGCUUAAUCCUCCCUGAGCCUUAGUCUCCCCAUCUGUAAAUGGGAUAAUAAUAGCAAUCACACAUACCCAGAGGCUUAAGAGUGAGGAUUAAAUCAGAAAGGUCACAUGUAAAAUGUGCUUACACAGUAAGUGCUCUAUUAAAGUGGUAGUUAUUUAGAAUGAUACUCUAGUAAGCUAUCCCAGAGCUCCCCAACUGGGAAUUAACUGUGUCCCACUCUGACAUGUACCUUGGGAACACAGGGAUUCCACCUUUAGGGUUUCUGACUAAAUCAUUUUUCACAGUCUGCCCUGAAUCAGCUAUUAUGUAAUGAAUCUGGCAGUCCCUAGCCAAGCUUUGCACUUAGUAGGUACUUGCUAAGACAAUAAAUGCUUGUUUAAAAUAUUGCCCACCUAGUCAAAUUCCCAAACCCUGUAAAACCCCACUAAAUUCUAAUCUAUUUGUCCUGAGUCCCACACAAUGCCUGGUUCAG
This 730-nucleotide long non-coding RNA is filed under the name Homo sapiens (human). RNAcentral describes it as "HSALNT0095470". The record is from RNAcentral. Lineage: Eukaryota; Metazoa; Chordata; Mammalia; Primates; Hominidae.